This 253-nucleotide ribosomal RNA is filed under the name uncultured bacterium. RNAcentral's name for it is "partial 16S ribosomal RNA". It matches the Rfam family "Bacterial small subunit ribosomal RNA", at positions 524 to 776 of the family's 1533-position model. The record is from RNAcentral.
UACGUAGGGGGCAAGCGUUGUCCGGAAUCAUUGGGCGUAAAGAGCGCGUAGGCGGUCCGGUAAGUCCGCUGUGAAAGUCAAGGGCUCAACCCUUGAAUGCCGGUGGAUACUGUCGGGCUAGAGUCCGGAAGAGGCGAGUGGAAUUCCUGGUGUAGCGGUGGAAUGCGCAGAUAUCAGGAGGAACACCGGUGGCGAAGGCGGGAUCCUGGGCCAGUACUGACGCUGAGGAGCGAAAGCGUGGGGAGCAAACAGG